This 480-nucleotide ribosomal RNA is filed under the name uncultured bacterium. RNAcentral describes it as "bacterial SSU rRNA". It matches the Rfam family "Bacterial small subunit ribosomal RNA", at positions 29 to 506 of the family's 1533-position model. The record is from RNAcentral.
UUGAACGCUGGCGGAAUGCUUUACACAUGCAAGUCGAGCGGCAGCGCGGGGCAACCUGGCGGCGAGCGGCGAACGGGUGAGUAACAUAUCGGAACGUACCCUAUCGUGGGGGAUAACACAUCGAAAGAUGUGCUAAUACCGCAUACGACCUGAGGGUGAAAGCGGGGGAUCGCAAGACCUCGCGCGACAGGAGCGGCCGAUAUCGGAUUAGCUAGUUGGUGAGGUAAAGGCUCACCAAGGCGACGAUCUGUAGCUGGUCUGAGAGGACGACCAGCCACACUGGGACUGAGACACGGCCCAGACUCCUACGGGAGGCAGCAGUGGGGAAUUUUGGACAAUGGGCGAAAGCCUGAUCCAGCAAUGCCGCGUGCAGGAAGAAGGCCUUCGGGUUGUAAAGCUCUUUCGGCAGGGAAGAAACGGUUUGGGCUAAUACCCUGAGCUAAUGACGGUACCUGAAGAAGAAGCACCGGCUAACUACGU